UUUCUUCCUCCACAAUUCUCUUUAAGAUAAAUAAUAAUUGGAUAGGUUAAAUAUUAACAAUUUAAAAUUAGCAAUUUAAAAUUAACAAUUUAAAAUAAAAACUAUUUAAGAUAAAAAGAAAUGUUGAAUAAUUUUUCGAUUCGGUUUAUAAUAAGAUUAGUAACUCAGGUUUUAUAAAAUCUUCUUUCGAAUUAUUUUUCAAUUCGAGAUAAGUUAGGAUUGUCCUAACAACGAGUUUUUUAUAUUGUCAUGAUCGUAGAAAAAAUUGUAAUUAUUCUAUAUCAAAAUUAUUAAGUUGAAAGAAUAUUUUUCUAAACAUUUUAAAAUUGUCAAGAGGGAUGUAUGACUUCUCGUUACGAAGAGAACUCAUAGAACCUCCAUAAAAUUUGUAAUGGGACGGAAACUCGAAUUCGGUUUUACAAGAGUCUGGGCCUUAACAGCAAACAGACCCCACGGUAAAAUAAGUAAUAAACAGAAAGGGCUUAAGUUCCCUUAAUGCAUUUGUCCCAUUUGACACGGGAAGUUUAAAUUUUAAAAUGAGGGAAAUAAACUGGGCAUGCACUCAAGAUGCCUUCAGCAUGACAGACUUAACUUUAUUACUUUUUACGACGGAUUUUCCGAAGAAAAAUCCGUCUGGAAAAUUUUCUCUAGUAUUUAUUAUUUGGGCUGGCCUUUGGGUCUUCCCAAUAAAUGAACCCUAUUUAAUAGAAUUUCUACCCUCAAUUACUUAGAAGGAAUUUAAAGAAUUUAUUUCGACGGAUGUAACAGUUGUAAAAAAGUAUGCAGUAUACCUACAUAUACCGAGAUGGGUCAUUUCAACCCCGCACGGAACAAGGUUUUCGGUGCUGUUCUAUUGUAACGUGGAAAUAAAACUAAUAACUAAAAGAACUUCCCUAGUUGGCACUAUAAGACAAAACAAGAGAGAACUACCUAAACUUGCAACAUCAAAAAAGGAUCACAUGUCUCGCUUCUCGACAGUACUUCAUAAAACAGAUGUACUCUGACCAUCUAUAAGAUAACCAAAUAAAAAAGUAUUACUGCAUAGUUCAAAACAUAAGUCAGUGAAAAUUGAAAAAGAUGAAAAACGUUUACCUGAAACGAUUACAUUUUAUAACAAUAUCAAAUUUGGCGUAGAUGUACGGAUCAAAUGGCUCGGAAAUAUACUGUGAAAGCUGGAUCCCGAAGAUGGCCAUUACAAAUGUUUUACAAUAUUUUAGAUCUUGCCGGAAUAAAUGCAUGGAUAUUAUAUAAGGAAAGAACAGGAGAAAAUAUUUCAAGAAAAGAAAUUCCCGUUAUCCGAAAAACUUGCAAUUGACUACAAAGAGCUAACCGGUAGAUCUACAGAUCAAGUAGAAGGAAUAUCAUCAUCUAUAUCGUCACAAAAUCAGACACAUAUUUCGAUGAAACGUAAACGGUGUUAAAUAGCACAUUGUACUAAUAAUAAAACGAAUAAAAUUUAUGGUACAUGCCAUAAACGAGCCUGUGGUAAAUGAUCUUCUAAAAUAUCUGUAACUUGCCAAAAAUUUUCUUCAACUUUUAUCCAUAAUUAUUUAAAAAAUUACUGCUAUUAUAUUACUAUUAUUAAAAGAUUAUAUUUAAGGUUUGUUCAGAAAAUUACCAAAUAUAUAAAAACGUAAAAAUUGCUGUCUUUUUUUAUAUAUCUUUUAGUAACUUAAGAAACAGGUCAUUUUGACCCAUCCGGUAGAAGUAGGUAUACGUCAAUCGUCGGUAGUUCUAGUGUUAAAAUCAAAUUUGUAUCAGAGUGCGGAAAACGGAGGUGUCAAAGCCGGCAGAGCAACUCGCCCCACUUAUGGAGAUGCGGCAGUCGGUUGGGUUCAGGUACAUCGUGAUUCAGGGUUAUGCACUAUUAAAGCACGAGUAUGUCCGGAACACAAAAUUCGCGAUACAGAAUAAUACAACGAGAAAUUGAGGAAGAUAAACAAAAUCAUCUUGUUGAAUUUUUCAAACCUAGGGCCAGUUGGGAAAAAAUCUCACUCCAUCAUUUAGCCUCGAGUUAUUCUGGAAAUCGUCUUGACAUCGAUGAAUUUUUUAACUAUUGUCAGAACAGUUAUACAUAUGAAGACUGUGCGGCAGUUGCUAAUCGCACGAAAGAUCAGAGUGAAUCCCCGAUUUGGUAUGAGAUGAGAUAUGGCCCGAAUCACAGCCUCAAUUCUGUACGAGACCUGUCGUUGUCGUACAACAGAAGGAGCGCUCUUCAGAAAAAUCAUAGGAGGAAAAAUGAUCGAGACUGAUGCAAUGGCGAGGGGGAGAGAAUUGGAAGCAGAUGUCAUCAAGAUUGUAGAAAAGUUAAUCGGAGAGAAAGGAUCAAAAUCUGGCUUAUUAUUAUCGCCUAUGUACCCAUGGUUUGGAGCAUCACCCGAUGGUGUAACAAAAACUGCUGUCAUUGAAGUCAAGUGCCCGAUGAAAGUCGAUACUGUCUACAAUUAUUAUUCCAACAACACCGUAAAUCCUAAAUUUCGAGCACAAAUGCAGUUGAAAAUGUUUUUUGCAGGGAAACAGAAAGCGAAAUUUUGCAUCGCUGAUCCACGUUUUCCCAUAAUAAAACGUAUAACUAUCAUCGAGGAAGAGUUGGACCCUCAUUUGACCAACACGUUAAUUCAGCAGGCCUCAGCAUUUUGGGAAUCAGCCAUUCUGCCAGCUUUGAUGGACUCAACAUAACCCGGAAGAAUUAAAAAAUUUAUUGUUGUAUGGGAAUAAAAUCAAUAAUGGUUGAAAAUUGAAACUAUAAUGCAUUAAUUUAUUAAAAAUACAUCGGUAUACAUAUCUCAAUGAGUCUAAAUUUUUGUAAUCAACAUGUUAUUAUUUUGCUUUGUAAGUUUACGAAUGCAGCGGCCACCUGUACUAUAUCCUCCAUCAGAUGGAUUAAGUUGUGAUCGACCGUAACAUGUGGUUGCAACAUUUUAAAUUCUCUCAGGCGUCUGAUCACUCUCUCUACGUGGAUUCUUACACUGGCAAUUUCUGUCGUUUUUAAGACUUCCUCUUUGGUAGGUUUCACAUCUGUUUGGACCGAAGAAGGUCGCAGAAGUUUACAGUUUUUUUUUUGGUGUAACUAGGAUUCGAUUUGUUUAAAUCCUCUAUCUGCGAGAAUAGAUGACCCAGAAGGGAGAACCGAUAAAUAUCCAGAAUUUUUGACAAUUUUUAUGUCCCUGGAGUGACCGCCAAAUCCACAGGAGAUGAAAUUAAUCAAUUCAUCAGGAGUUAUGGAUAUCAGAUAUUUACAAAAAUUACACUUCUUAUAGUCUGACCAUGUUGCAGCCUGGUGUACUACAUGAGUUAAAUGUUUUAUUUGAAUUUCGAAACAAUUUUUAUGUCAAAAUUAAACGAAAUGACAUGAUUAUUUAAUGGUUUAACUUGAAAAUUCCCAAAUAAAAAAAAAAAAGGCCCACUGGAUAAGCCCACUGGAUGAAAAA
Long non-coding RNA from Diachasmimorpha longicaudata, 3431 nucleotides. RefSeq lists it as uncharacterized. The record is from RefSeq and is a predicted model, not a curated record. The transcript has 2 exons. Lineage: Eukaryota; Metazoa; Arthropoda; Insecta; Hymenoptera; Braconidae.